This 233-nucleotide ribosomal RNA is filed under the name Pseudomonadales bacterium. Its description in RNAcentral is "partial 16S ribosomal RNA". It matches the Rfam family "Bacterial small subunit ribosomal RNA", at positions 1301 to 1533 of the family's 1533-position model. Lineage: Bacteria; Pseudomonadati; Pseudomonadota; Gammaproteobacteria; Pseudomonadales. The record is from RNAcentral.
GAGUCUGCAACUCGACUCCUUGAAGUCGGAAUCGCUAGUAAUCGCGAAUCAGAACGUCGCGGUGAAUACGUUCCCGGGCUUUGUACACACCGCCCGUCAAGUCAUGGAAGUGGGUUGCACCAGAAGUGGCUAGUCUAACCUUCGGGAGGACGGUCACCACGGUGUGGUUCAUGACUGGGACUAAGUCGUAACAAGGUAGCCGUAGGGGAACCUGUGGCUGGAUCACCUCCUUA